UCUCGCCCGCAGUCGCACCACCAUCAGAUCGAACGUCGUCAGAUCCAUAUCCAGGUAUCAUCUCUCUCUCUCUCUCUCUCUCUCUCUCUCUCUCUCUCUCUCUCGGCCGGGGGCUGAUCUGAUUCUCGGCCACGGCCGAUCGACUUGCCUUGUAAUCAAUCCCCGGCAGGGAGGGCAGGCAUAUUCCCCUUCAUGAUUUGAUUUGUAUAUAUGCGGUACGAAUUCCUUCUUAUUAUCUUACACACAAGCAAGGGCGUACCCCCUCCCUCUGUAAAGAAAUAUAAGAGCGUUACGAUUUACAGAGGGAGUAAUUAGGUUUGAUUUCAGAGACACCAGGCCUUGUAUUUGGUCUGUCCUCCUUCGCCUCCGCUUAUGCGUAUGGUUGAUGGAUUUGGGGUAUGCAGGGAGGACCGACUAUUUGCUUAUGCUUAUGUUCUAUGAUAGGAGGAGUAGCAGCAAAGUACUAACAGGUAUGAAUAUUAUUAAGGCCAUUUUUGUUACUCCUACUAGUAUAUAUCCCUACCGCCAUACGGCUGACAUUUUUGUACUAACAAACUUACUAACGUAGGGUAGGAUGUGAUGCUGGAAGACAUGAUGAAGCAGCUAUCUGCCUGCCUGCCUAAAUUAUGAUGGAUUUCUGUCAGGUUUCUUGUGUUGCAUCUGAAAACAGAUCGCUGUAUCUAAGCAGAUUCUGUUCUGCAGUUUGUAUGUAGGCUCCGGACCGGAUCGGCUCCUUCCUCUCCAAAAUUUUAACGAGCCAGGGAAAGAAAGUUCUUCGCCAAAACCCUUACCUGGGAGAGGCCUUAUCCAAGGACGGGAGAAAGAAUAGACCAUCAACAAGCACCCAAUCACGGCCGCGUCCUUCUCUUCGUAUGGUAACCACUGUUGAAAUCUGAAAUCCGCUCUUAUUGGGUUUAAUGGCUGCAGGUCAUGUUUCGGUAAUGUUCAUGAGAUGAAUGCAGGCGCAAGAGUAAUUAAAAGGUAGAGCUGAUGAGUGUGGCUUUAUUCACAUGAUUUCUCCGCACGAGCAAUGUCUCCCUACACAUCUGUUUAUGAGCAUCUUCUUAUAUGUGGUCAUGAUCCUCUUUUAUCAUUUUAUAUCUAUCCAUGAUCUAAUGCUCGUUGCAUUGCAGCCUACGGCAUAUGAUCUUGUUCUCGUCGUAUGGCAUCAGUCGGCACCCCUGUGAAACGUACGUCUUACACCCUGAAAGUAGAUCCAUUCCUUAGUGUGAUAUUGGUAUACUCAUCUUUACUACUCCCGUUCCAUAAUAUAAGAGUGUUUUUGACACUACACUAGUGUCAAAAACACUCUUAUAUUACCUAUUUUAUUACAAUAGCAUUUUACCUAUUUCUCCCCGUUGCCUUGCUUCAGUGUCAUAUCACCUAGCUGCCAGGCUGACGUGUGUAACUAGAUGUUCACCUAACUUGUCAGAAUCCCUACAACUUAAAACAAAUUACAAAAACUGAAAAGGCACCCUCAUUCAUAACAAGGCCAAGAUAUGCAACAUGCUGAGUAACACAACACUAGUUAAAGGUCCCAACAGGGGAAGACCAGAGUCCAUGUAUCAGAACAACAAUUUUGAUUUCAGCCACCCCCAGAACACGCUGUAGAGGUCUCCAUAACUUUUCUUUUUCUUGACCGAAGGAGCGCACAGCUCCCAAAGACAUCCAGCAGUUCCUCAAGUGUCUCAUACAUGGCCUAAAUGAUUUACUUGCCGCUAACCAACAAAUUAGCCAAGGAUAAUUUUGUCCUAACUUCUCUAUAAUUAUAUAAUUUGGUCAUUUUGCUGAAAAUAAUACCCCUUACAUAAAGGGAUGGAGAGAUUACAUAGCAGAGCUUGCUAUGACAAAGGAACCAAUCAAAUCCCCAUCCGGGGCACCUACCCCUCAUGGUCUCUUGUCGUUAAGUCAUUUGCCCUACAUAGGGCCGACCCUGGUCUUGAGUUGUGGGAGUUGGUAUCAACAAAAGGCAUCUCUCAAAUGGAUUUGAUCGUCUAUCGUGACUAAGUAGAAGCAUCGGUUCCACAUAGUGAGAGCCUAGUCUUGCAUAGGCGCAAGCAAAAUUGUAGGCGCUCAUCCUUACAGGUGAUUACCGCUAGCUUUUAAAUCCAACCUCUAAGGAAAACAUUGUAAAAAAGAGAGAAUGAGAUUGAUUUGCACCUCGUGACCAACUUUCAACUUGAUGGACAUCAAGUUUGUAUUGUAGAAUACCGAACCACUUCAACUUUUAUUUUCACAACACUAACUUUCGUCUAGUUUACACAUGGGUUUCCACUUAAACAAGCAAACCUUCAACCGGUCUAAAAUCCAACUUUCAAUCGAAUAACUUGGGGAAUUUUACUAGGAAGUCGAUAGCUUUUAGAUGCGACUCUAUAAUCUCCCAUGUUCAUCUACAUUUCAACCAAGACCACAAAUGAUGUGGCACAUGUACCAUAUCUACUAAUUUCCAUAAAAAAACUCAAGCUAGAGUUGUCCAACUCCAAUGCAAAAGGCAUCAACAAAAUUUUCACACAGAAUAGUGAAGUCCCUUUGGGACAAGCAGAACAAGGCAAAAAAGAAAAAGGAAAUGACCAACCAAUGCAAACUAUUUUUUUGCGAGGGAACCAGUGCAAACUACUGACACAUUGCAAGAGCAUAAAUGUUCGGUUUUAAAAUUCCAAUGAUGGUCUUCAAUGAAAGUGAUUAUAUUAUAUGAUUAUUGGCUGAUUUCUGCCAGCAUUAAACAUAUUCACAUUUUAUGCAUAUUUGCAAAAACAAAACAAAAAACAUCAUGGAAAUCAGGGAGAAUGUUAAAGGUUGAAGAUUCUAGAGGAACUAGUGUUGGAAGUGUAAUGUAUGUCAGUAUGUGCACUAAGUCUCGUUGUAUAGUCUGUACAAGAGCAUGUAUAUAUACAUCUAUAUUCAAUCACUGAGAAAGCAUGCAAUAAAUCCACAAAAAAGCCAGUUAAAUCUAACGUACUCCCUCCUUUCGGAAUUACCGCGACAAGUAAUUUAAAACGGAGGGAGUAGAUACUAAGACGGACACAUCGGUGCUACAUAAGGUAAGUAUAUGGUGAAGGAACCACACAAACUCGAUCCCCUGCCCCCCGCGUCGCCUAACCUAGGCGACACGGGGGGCGAUCUGCCGCCGCCGGCCCAAAGGCCUCCUCCCACGUCCUGUCUCCCCUGUCGCCGCCGGAGGCCACGCCCGUAGCAUGGCCUGUGAUGGCGGCGAGAGGGCUUUC
RNAcentral lists this long non-coding RNA (3224 nucleotides) under Triticum aestivum (bread wheat). RNAcentral describes it as "long non-coding RNA (TAES_LNC013628)". Lineage: Eukaryota; Viridiplantae; Streptophyta; Magnoliopsida; Poales; Poaceae. The record is from RNAcentral.